This 216-nucleotide long non-coding RNA is filed under the name Brassica napus (rape). RNAcentral describes it as "long non-coding RNA (BNAP_LNC026314)". The record is from RNAcentral. Lineage: Eukaryota; Viridiplantae; Streptophyta; Magnoliopsida; Brassicales; Brassicaceae.
GAGGUGGUAUUGGAUCUAGGAAUUUAAUAGAAUUUGACUUAAUUCAUAAAUAAGAAUUUUUAGUGCAAUUUAAAAGAUUUGAUGAGACUUUAAUGCAUUUAUAAUUUUUGUUUUGUUUUGUUUUGUUAUGGAUUUUAAUGGAAUGUACAUAAAUUUGAUAGAAUAUCAAUAUCUCUUCUUUUUUUGAACUACGAAUAUCAAUAUCUCUAAAACCUG